CUCAAAUUUGAAAUCUGGCACCUUCGGUGUCCGAGUUGUAAUUUGAAGAAGGUAACUUUGGAGUUGGCUCUUGUCUAUGUUCCUUGGAACAGGACGUCACAGAGGGUGAGAAUCCCGUGCGAUGAGAUGCCCAAUUCUAUGUAAAGUGCUUUCGAAGAGUCGAGUUGUUUGGGAAUGCAGCUCUAAGUGGGUGGUAAAUUCCAUCUAAAGCUAAAUAUUGGCGAGAGACCGAUAGCGAACAAGUACAGUGAUGGAAAGAUGAAAAGAACUUUGAAAAGAGAGUGAAAAAGUACGUGAAAUUGUUGAAAGGGAAGGGCUUGAGAUCAGACUUGGUAUUUUGCAAGCCUUACCUUCGUGGUGGGGUCCCCUGCAGUUUACUGGGCCAGCAUCGGUUUGGAUGGUAGGAUAAUGACUUGGGAAUGUGACUUUGCUUCGGUAAAGUGUUAUAGCCCUUGUUGAUACUGCCUGUCUAGACCGAGGACUGCGUCUUUGACUAGGAUGCUGGCAUAAUGAUCUUAAGUCGCCCGUCUUGA
RNAcentral lists this ribosomal RNA (533 nucleotides) under Rhodotorula mucilaginosa. RNAcentral's name for it is "eukaryotic LSU rRNA". It matches the Rfam family "Eukaryotic large subunit ribosomal RNA", at positions 108 to 657 of the family's 3401-position model. Lineage: Eukaryota; Fungi; Basidiomycota; Microbotryomycetes; Sporidiobolales; Sporidiobolaceae. The record is from RNAcentral.